Molecule: unclassified non-coding RNA, 402 nt
Filed under: Leontodon hispidus
Lineage: Eukaryota; Viridiplantae; Streptophyta; Magnoliopsida; Asterales; Asteraceae
Description: partial external transcribed spacer
Source: RNAcentral
AAAAACAAUGAUCAGUAAAGACCAUGUGCCCAAAUAAGGGUCCAUAUCCUAGAGACCAAGCGACACACCACAGGCCAUCCCAUCAGUGCGUUAGCAUCGAAAGGAUGGACGAUAGGUGCCGUUUCGUGGUUCGUUCACGCCGCAAGCGACGCUUUACGAAAGAGUUGUUUGUCAAAGCCAAACGAUGCCAUUGUUUUGGUAUGCAACACAGGAACCCACUUGAUGCUCAAGGCAAAAGAGCCAUGGAGCAACUAUUGAAGAGGUCUGGACGCGUGGAAGUUGCUGCGCAAGCAGACACCAACCACCCGUAACAGACCAAACACCACUCAUGCACCUUUAUGGUAGACAUUCCCGAAAGUCGCCCAACUAAAAGCCACCCACCUAGCAACAAGGCCAAGCAAG